This 273-nucleotide unclassified non-coding RNA is filed under the name fungal sp. RNAcentral describes it as "partial contains small subunit ribosomal RNA, internal transcribed spacer 1, and 5.8S ribosomal RNA". The stretch from base 1 to 47 matches the Rfam family "Eukaryotic small subunit ribosomal RNA", at positions 1785 to 1831 of the family's 1831-position model. The record is from RNAcentral. Lineage: Eukaryota; Fungi.
AAAGUCGUAACAAGGUUUCCGUAGGUGAACCUGCGGAAGGAUCAUUAAUGCGAGAUCGAGGCGCCCCCUAGCGCCUUCUAGACCUCCCACCCUUUGUAAACGUACCUUGAGUUGCUUUGGCGGGGCGUGGCCAGAAAUGGUCCCGUUGGCUCCACCGGGGCUAGCGUGCCCCCGCCAGAGGAUCAUAAGAAUCUUGCUUUGAAAAACCCCGUCUGAAAAAUUCUAUUUUAAAAAUAGCGAAAAAAACUUUCAACAACGGAUCUCUUGGUUCUG